RNAcentral lists this ribosomal RNA (453 nucleotides) under uncultured Rhodocyclaceae bacterium. RNAcentral's name for it is "bacterial SSU rRNA". It matches the Rfam family "Bacterial small subunit ribosomal RNA", at positions 926 to 1382 of the family's 1533-position model. Lineage: Bacteria; Pseudomonadati; Pseudomonadota; Betaproteobacteria; Rhodocyclales; Rhodocyclaceae. The record is from RNAcentral.
CAAGCGGUGGAUGAUGUGGAUUAAUUCGAUGCAACGUGAAAACUUACACCCUUGACAUGUCCGGAAUCCCGAAGAGAUUUGGGAGUGCUCGCAAGAGAACCGGAACACAGGUGCUGCAUGGCUGUCGUCAGCUCGUGUCGUGAGAUGUUGGGUUAAGUCCCGCAACGAGCGCAACCCUUGUCAUUAGUUGCCAUCAUUUGGUUGGGCACUCUAAUGAGACUGCCGGUGACAAACCGGAGGAAGGUGGGGAUGACGUCAAGUCCUCAUGGCCCUUAUGGGUAGGGCUUCACACGUCAUACAAUGGUCGGUACAGAGGGUUGCCAACCCGCGAGGGGGAGCUAAUCCCACAAAGCCGAUCGUAGUCCGGAUCGCAGUCUGCAACUCGACCGCGUGAAGUCGGAAUCGCUAGUAAUCGUGGAUCAGCAUGUCACGGUGAAUACGUUCCCGGGUCUU